UUUCAAAUUGAGCAGGUAAAUGGUUGUUUGCAAUACUCAGACAAAGUUGUAGAUGGCUUUUACCUAAUCCAUGGGAUGGAUGCAUAUACAUGGACUAUAAGUACCGAUAUGCAGAAUGUUGGUAUGAUUCCAUCAUUUGAAUCACUCAUGUGUGUUAAGCCAUGUGAUGACUCGUCAGUUGUAGUGGUUGCUAUUGAUACGUCUAGAGAUCCUGGAUUGAGAGAACUGCAAAAUGGAGUAUUAACUCUUUCAACUAACUGGGUUACUACCAAAGAUGCAACUGAUCAGCUUGCAAAUCUUGUUUAUAAUAGGAUGGGGGGGGGAUCUUCUGACGAGGAACUUUUAGGUAUACGCUGGAAGGAAUGCACCCAAAUUCUUAAAAGCUGUCUGCAAUCUAUCGUUCUUCCGAUUGGAAGCUUACCUGUUGGCCUUUGUGUCCAUCGAGCAUUGCUGUUCAAAGUGUUAGCGGACUUAAUCAACCUGCCAUGUCGAGUUGCUAAGGGUUGCAAGUACUGUAGAAAGGACACGUGCGCUUCUUGUAUAGUGCAAUUUGGUUCUGACAGGGAGUAUAUGAUUGAUUUAGUAGGAAGGCCUGGGGAAACAUGUCAACCUGAUUCUUCAGUGAAUUCUGCGUCUUCAGUUUUGAUCCCUUCACCAUUAUGUCAUCCAAGGUUCAAGCCAGUUGAAACAGCUGAAUAUACAAAGACAUUAGCCCGACUGUAUUUCUUGGACAGUCAAGCACUGCAUCUUGUAUUUGAUACCACGUCAGGAGAUAGAGUUGAGUGUAGUGACAGAAUGGAUCUACAGCAAACUGAAAUGUUUGGUGCAAGCUAUGCUGGUCGGAACAACCAAAUAGUUGCUUUGAAUCCUGGUACAGAGGAACACAUGUCUUUCAAUGAAGCAAACCAGUCAGAAGUGAAUUAUUCAAGUCGUGAGGAGGAGGAUCUGGACAUUCCAUGGAGUGAACUUAUUCUGAAGGAAAACAUUGGGACAGGGUCAUUUGGAACAGUUCUUCGUGCGGACUGGCGUGGCUCUGAUGUUGCUGUGAAGAUACUUAAGGUGCAAGGUUUUGAUUCUGAACGAUUUGAAGAAUUUCUGAAUGAGGUCACACUCAUGAAGCGCCUUCGUCAUCCAAACAUUGUACUUCUAAUGGGUGCCGUAAUCCAACCGCCAAAAUUAUCAAUUGUAACAGAAUAUUUAUCAAGAGGCAGCUUGUAUGAACUUCUGCAGAUGCCAAGUAUUGGAUCUUCAAUCAGCGAGAAGCGUCGUCUAAGUAUGGCAUGCGAUGUGGCAAGUGGAAUGAAUUAUCUUCAUCAAAUGAAGCCUCCCAUUGUUCAUAGAGAUUUGAAGUCUCCAAAUCUUUUGGUUGAUGAUUCAUACACUGUUAAGGUAUGUGACUUUGGCCUCUCACGUUCAAAAGCAAAUACAUUUCUUUCAUCUAAAACAGCUGCUGGAACUCCUGAAUGGAUGGCACCAGAAGUUAUCAAAGGUGAACUAUCGAAUGAAAAAUGUGAUGUAUUCAGCUUUGGUGUAAUCUUGUGGGAACUGGUGACCCUUCAACAACCAUGGAGGCAAUUAAAUCCUUCACAGGUUGUUGCAGCUGUUGGUUUUAUGGACAAAAGGCUUGAAAUUCCAAGGCACGUGAAUCCUCAAGUGGCUGCCUUGAUUGAGCUCUGCUGGUCUACGGAACCAAGGAGGCGGCCUUCUUUCUCCUAUAUUAUGAAAUGUUUGCAGCAAAUAAUUGCCGAUGCUGAAGUGUGAACAAGUCCAUGCAGAGGAACAUUUACUACUAUACAGAUGAUAAAUAGUAUUAUUCUACAAUAUUAUACAUGGAUUGCAGUUUAUUCAGUUGACAGGGAUCUUGCUGAAGAUCUUAAUUAUGCUGCUGAUUGAUAGAAGAGCAACCUACCUUUUAAUGUUAUAUAUGAUAUAUACUUAUCAUCAUUACCCACAAUGUCAUUUCUAUACUAAUAUUUGCUUUUGGCUGUAUAUAUGAUGAUCAAAUUCACUUUGGGGUUCUGGUUUAUAUUUAUAAUAAUUCUUUUGAUUGUUCUUUU
Molecule: non-coding RNA, 2057 nt
Organism: Cicer arietinum (chickpea)
Lineage: Eukaryota; Viridiplantae; Streptophyta; Magnoliopsida; Fabales; Fabaceae
Source: RefSeq, a predicted model, not a curated record